GGCGAGUGGGCGGACAGGAGGACGCCGACACCGACCGGUCGGGACGCAGUACGGCAGUACGGCGAAAUCAGCAGGGAACAGUUCCGAAUCAUAGGGAGUAAUACUACCGACGCCAGUCCACCUGUGGCUCCGGAGAGCACACAGUACUGCCCUGCUGAUCCUGGCCGUCCUGGGACGCGGCGCCUGUGACGUCCCACCGAGACCUACGCGCACACUCCACCACAGCGCCGCGCCGUGCAGAGAACGUGCCACUCUUUUUAACCAGGUGAGCCCCAUGUUUCCAACCAACAAGACAAACGAAAGAGACUGCAGGCUACACAAGUACUACUAUUGGAUAUCUAGCAGGU
Cydia splendana is the source of this 347-nucleotide long non-coding RNA. RefSeq lists it as uncharacterized. The transcript has 3 exons. Lineage: Eukaryota; Metazoa; Arthropoda; Insecta; Lepidoptera; Tortricidae. The record is from RefSeq and is a predicted model, not a curated record.